Molecule: ribosomal RNA, 522 nt
Filed under: Ignatzschineria cameli
Lineage: Bacteria; Pseudomonadati; Pseudomonadota; Gammaproteobacteria; Cardiobacteriales; Ignatzschineriaceae
Description: bacterial LSU rRNA
Rfam family: Bacterial large subunit ribosomal RNA
Source: RNAcentral
UGAUCCGGUGGUUCUGUAUGGAAAGGCCAUCGCUCAACGGAUAAAAGGUACUCCGGGGAUAACAGGCUGAUUCCGCCCAAGAGUUCAUAUCGACGGCGGAGUUUGGCACCUCGAUGUCGACUCAUCACAUCCUGGGGCUGUAGUCGGUCCCAAGGGUAUGGCUGUUCGCCAUUUAAAGUGGUACGCGAGUUGGGUUCAGAACGUCGUGAGACAGUUCGGUCCCUAUCUGCCGUGGGCGUUGGAAAUUUGAGAGGAGCUGCUUCUAGUACGAGAGGACCGAAGUGGACGUAUCUCUGGUGGUCCGGUUGUCAUACCAAUGGCAUAGCCGGGUAGCUACAUACGGACGGGAUAACCGCUGAAAGCAUCUAAGCGGGAAGCCCACCUCAAGAUUAGAUUUCCCUAGGGGUUUAACCCCUCUGAAGGUCCGUCGAAGACUACGACGUUGAUAGGUUGGGUGUGUAAGUGCAGUAAUGCAUUGAGCUUACCAAUACUAAUUGACCGUGAGGCUUGACCAUAUAAUAG